GAUGAACGCUGGCGGCGUGCCUAAUACAUGCAAGUCGAGCGAACAGAUGAGGAGCUUGCUCCUCUGACGUUAGCGGCGGACGGGUGAGUAACACGUGGAUAACCUACCUAUAAGACUGGGAUAACUUCGGGAAACCGGAGCUAAUACCGGAUAAUAUAUUGAACCGCAUGGUUCAAUAGUGAAAGACGGUUUUGCUGUCACUUAUAGAUGGAUCCGCGCCGCAUUAGCUAGUUGGUAAGGUAACGGCUUACCAAGGCAACGAUGCGUAGCCGACCUGAGAGGAUGAUCGGCCACACUGGAACUGAGACACGGUCCAGACUCCUACGGGAGGCAGCAGUAGGGAAUCUUCCGCAAUGGGCGAAAGCCUGACGGAGCAACGCCGCGUGAGUGAUGAAGGUCUUCGGAUCGUAAAACUCUGUUAUUAGGGAAGAACAAAUGUGUAAGUAACUAUGCACGUCUUGACGGUACCUAAUCAGAAAGCCACGGCUAACUACGUG
RNAcentral lists this ribosomal RNA (497 nucleotides) under uncultured bacterium. RNAcentral's name for it is "partial 16S ribosomal RNA". It matches the Rfam family "Bacterial small subunit ribosomal RNA", at positions 28 to 507 of the family's 1533-position model. The record is from RNAcentral.